Molecule: ribosomal RNA, 468 nt
Filed under: uncultured bacterium
Lineage: Bacteria
Description: partial 16S ribosomal RNA
Rfam family: Bacterial small subunit ribosomal RNA
Source: RNAcentral
GACGAACGCUGGCGGCGUGCUUAACACAUGCAAGUCGAACGGAAAGGCCCUGCUUUUGUGGGGUGCUCGAGUGGCGAACGGGUGAGUAACACGUGAGUAACCUGCCCUUGACUUUGGGAUAACUUCAGGAAACUGGGGCUAAUACCGGAUAGGAGCUCCUGCUGCAUGGUGGGGGUUGGAAAGUUUCGGCGGUUGGGGAUGGACUCGCGGCUUAUCAGCUUGUUGGUGGGGUAGGGGCUUACCAAGGCUUUGACGGGUAGCCGGCCUGGGAGGGUGGCCGGCCACAUGGGGACUGCGAUACGGCCCAGACUCGUACGGGAGGCAGCAGUGGGGAAUAUUGCACAAUGGGCGGAAGCCUGAUGCAGCAACGCCGCGUGCGUGAUGACGUCCUUCGGGUUGUAAACCGCUUUCGCCUGUGACGAAGCGUGAGUGACGGUAAUGGGUAAAGAAGCACCGGCUAACUACGUG